CUUCCUCCGUCGCCUCUCUCUGUCGGCGAGCAGCUACACCUUGAGCUCGACAUCCGAUAGUCCGUCCGCUCCACAACCCCGGCCCACCUCCACCUCCCCGUCCUCCUCCUCCCCUCCGCAAGACCUCUCCCCGGUCGACUGGGACCGUAGGGUGGGGCUGUAGAGGAAGAGGUCGUGCAGCUCGGAGCUUGCACUGGCGUACGGAGAGGGGGCCGGUGGCUUCGGCGCGCAUACAUUGGCUGGGUCAAGGUAAGGGUGCUCAUGACCAGCUUCGGGAUUUUGGUGUGUCCGGAUGGAGAAUCGAGGAUGGUCACCUCAUCAAGAAAAACAAAUCGCGGGUUGAUUCAUGUACUAUAAUUCUAUUCCACACGUACUAAUUAUUCAAAAGAUUCUUUGUGUUCUAACAUUUAGAUCUAGAUCCAGUAUGAAAUCCAUUUAACAACAGAUUUAUGUGUGAGUUUGAUGCUAGGUGAGAUAUGACAGGUAAAUAUAUAGUAAUGUACAAGCGAACUGAUUAGAUGAUAGAUGCAUGGAAACAUUGAUGAUUUCCGUAGAGGCCACUAACUGAAGUUGGUCGGCUGCUCCCUUGUAUGUUGCAAUCUUCGUUGCCGCUUUGAUGAUUUGAUUCGGAUUCUGAGAUUUUCCUUGAUUACCGCUGGGUCUUUCUUAGUUCUGGUGUUUGGCCAAGUGGUUGGGGAUUGAUAUUGCAAAUCGAACAGAAGAACCAAGAAGGAUGAACUGUCAAGGGGCGUUUGAAGCUGCACGCUCCAUUGACUGAAAAUUGCUGUUUGACAUCUUCUCAAAUUCAAAGCAAUUGGCAUGUCAAAUUACUUCUUAACCAGGUUGUGUUCUACUCAUCAGCGGCAGUGUCUGUACUUUUAAAGUGUAUAGACUGCUAUUUUACACGGUACUUCUGUUCUCCAGCCUCUUGAUGUGUUAAUUCCGACAGUCCAUUUAAAAUAAUAUCUUGUCGUGAUAAGUAUUAUUAUUAUCGUGACUUUUUCACAGGUACGCAUACCCAUUAUGUAGUUACUUUCUCGCAUCUUCUACUAAGAUAAUUUGUGCUGGCUGCAAUUGUUUUUAUCUCGCAAUUUUAUUCCUGCUUUUC
This is a long non-coding RNA of Lolium rigidum, 1108 nucleotides long. RefSeq lists it as uncharacterized. The transcript has 3 exons. The record is from RefSeq and is a predicted model, not a curated record. Lineage: Eukaryota; Viridiplantae; Streptophyta; Magnoliopsida; Poales; Poaceae.